RNAcentral lists this transfer RNA (89 nucleotides) under Streptomyces aurantiacus. RNAcentral describes it as "tRNA-Thr". Lineage: Bacteria; Bacillati; Actinomycetota; Actinomycetes; Kitasatosporales; Streptomycetaceae. The record is from RNAcentral.
GUGGGCCUGGGUGAAGGAGCACCGGCCCGAGGUGUGGGCCAAGGUGAAGAAGGCCGUCGCCGACGGGCGGUUCGUGCCCACGGGCGGCA